Molecule: ribosomal RNA, 564 nt
Filed under: uncultured Glomeromycotina
Lineage: Eukaryota; Fungi; Glomeromycota
Description: SSU rRNA
Rfam family: Eukaryotic small subunit ribosomal RNA
Source: RNAcentral
UUGGAGGGCAAGUCUGGUGCCAGCAGCCGCGGUAAUUCCAGCUCCAAUAGCGUAUAUUAAAGUUGUUGCAGUUAAAAAGCUCGUAGUUGAAUUUCGGGAUCAGAGUGUCGGUCGUGCCUCGGUACGCACUGGUAUUAUUGGUUCCUACCUUCUGAAGAACCGCGAUGUCAUUAAUUUGGUGUCGUGGGGAAUCAGGACUGUUACUUUGAAAAAAUUAGAGUGUUUAAAGCAGGCUUACGCUUGAAUACAUUAGCAUGGAAUAAUGAAAUAGGACGUUUGAUUCUAUUUUGUUGGUUUCUAGGAUUGUCGUAAUGAUUAAUAGGGAUAGUUGGGGGCAUUAGUAUUCAAUUGUCAGAGGUGAAAUUCUUGGAUUUAUUGAAGACUAACUACUGCGAAAGCAUUUGCCAAGGAUGUUUUCAUUAAUCAAGAACGAAAGUUAGGGGAUCGAAGACGAUCAGAUACCGUCGUAGUCUUAACCAUAAACUAUGCCGACUAGGGAUCGGAUGAUGUUAAUUUUUUAAUGACUCAUUCGGCGCCUUACGGGAAACCAAAGUGUUUGGGUUC